GAUAAACGCUGGCGGCGUGCCUAACACAUGCAAGUCGAACGUCCUUUUCUUGCUUCGGUAAGGAGAGGGAGUGGCGGACGGGUGAGUAAGACAUGGGUGACCUGCCCUAAAGUGAGGGAUACCGGCGAGAAAUUGCCGACAAGCCCGCAUGCGUUCUGUUUGGUAGAGCGAACAGAGCAAAGGUUUCCGUAAGGGAGCUGCUUUGGGAUGGGCCUGUGGCCGAUUAGCUGGUUGGUGGGGUAAGAGCCUACCAAGGCGACGAUCGGUAGC
Molecule: ribosomal RNA, 270 nt
Filed under: uncultured bacterium
Lineage: Bacteria
Description: partial 16S ribosomal RNA
Rfam family: Bacterial small subunit ribosomal RNA
Source: RNAcentral